Molecule: small RNA, 165 nt
Filed under: Chelonoidis abingdonii (Abingdon island giant tortoise)
Lineage: Eukaryota; Metazoa; Chordata; Testudines; Testudinidae
Description: TUC338 (ENSCABG00000012899.1)
Source: RNAcentral
CUGUCAGACCUGGAGACUGAAGCCCCCAUACCAGGUACAGCAUGGACAGCAGCAGUGCAAGUUUCCUCUCAAUGCCUCUCAAUAUAGGUCUCAGCUUUAAUCUGGGACAAGCAAUUUGGAGCAGAGACUAGUUCAGUAUCUGUACCCAUCUAGUCCCUGGCAAAU